AGUCAUUAGUGUGACAUCCCAAUUAUACAGAAAAACAUACAUAAUCAAGAUGUCAUCAUAUAUAAUAAUUGAAAGCAGUUAGAGUAUAUUAGAGACAAUUAGGAUUACAGUCAUCCUUAAGCAGUACAGGAAUUUAGGAACUUGGAGAAAUAGAGUUCUCCUAAAAAGGAUAGGAAUUUAAAACUUUAAACAUAACAAAUAAAGUUCUUCAAAAUAUCUAAGACUAAGAAAAGUAAAGUCUAAUGAACUAGGCAGCGACAUUUCCAUCUCCAUUAAGAGUUGUUUCCAAGGUAUCCUCCACGCCAUCUGCUCUCAUCCAAGUGGAUGAUCAUCGCAAGAAAAAACGAAAGCAAACAUGGCACAAACACAAGCAAAUGCAAGGGUGAGCUAAUUAUAUAUAUAAAAAAAAACAUGCAUCAUAUCAAACAUAUAAUAUACAAGAGUUAAAUUUUUAAUCAAAACAGAUUAAGGCAUAAUUCCUAACAUGUUGAAUACUAAACUUUACUCAUCCAGACUUUAGAAUGAUAGUCGAGCUAUGGCGGGCCAUGCACCCGUGGUGGCUUGUGAUACUUAGGCUCCCCCGCCCUGAGCUUCCCCGCCCUGCCACUCACGAGGUUAGUCUGUUCCGCGCCUUGGAGCAUGAUGAAAGCCUCCAAGACUAAGACCUCCUACUACUCCUCACCACAUGGUCCAAUCCUCUCUACGUGAGAAAAAAAGACCAUUGGAGCAUCAGGAAGACCCCCAAGACUGAACUCCUACUUUCAUUCUAAAACACUUAGAAUCUCACCAAGAGAUUCGACAUUUGAAACUACCAUAAGCAACCAUGAAAUCAUGUUUCAGUCUUUCCCAAUUCACACACCUUUGAAUUAUAAACAAAUCACAUGUUUAAGCUUUCAAAUUAAUAACCCAAUAAAACACUUUUAAUUAAUAACGUUCUCUUUCAAAAAAUAAAAAUAAAACCAUGUGCCAACAUUUUCAUUUAAUUUGCUUAAAUCUUAGAAUCCUACCCCUGUAACUAAUACAACACCCUUCUAGAAGUUUAAUUCACUUUAUUUUACACCAUGGGAUCCAUCCAAAAUUAAAUAAUCAAUUUCCUAUCACUUCUCUCCAUAAAGAAUUAUAACUUUCUAUGGUAGCCUACAUCAUGCACCCUCUCCUCUUCUCAUUCUUUCUUUCUUAAACUUCUUUUCCAUUAACCCGCGGGUCCUACUCCUAUUACUCACCUUUUUUUUUUCUCCCAACGUAACAAAAUACAUCAAUCACACCUAUUAUUAAAGAAACCCACCUCACAACAUUUAAAUAUUAGCAUUCUAAUACUACCAACAAAAUAUCAUGCCACACCAAGCCAUCAUUCACGUAACCCCACCUUUCAUAUAUAAUUACAUAUACAUCAUUAUUAUAUUCAUAUAAUAUUAUAUAUAUAUAUAUAUAUAUAUAUAUAUAUAUAUAUAUACCUUACUAUAUAAAUAUAAUACAUUAGAUAUCUAUAUACACAUUACUAUAUAAAUACAAUAUAUUACCUNACGUAAACCCANUUUCUCGUACACNUUUAUAUCUAUAUAAAACUAAACUAUAUUACUUCAGCACCUUAUUCCCUCUACACCCAAGCCAUUAAAGUUUUCAAGAAUUAGGAUAUUACACACUACUUAUAAAAUAUAUACAUGUACACGCUAACAAUUAAUCAAACCCCAAAACAGACUCUUCUUUCUUCAACUUCAUUCUGUAACCCCUACUUCUCUCUUNCCCCAAAUCAUUAUUAUUUUUCACUCUUCCGUGAACGNCNUUCUCCCUUUUUCCACACUAAAANCGAACUACUCACCACUGCUAUUUUCUUUCCCACACUCUCUNCAUGAGAAACCUCAACCAAUUCCUANCUCCUACCCAUGCCUACNAUGCGACACAAUUCCACUCCCUUNAAUUCACAUCAAGGUUCUAUAUUUCUGAUAUUCUUUUCUUUUCUUAUUCUACUUCCUCCAACACAACAUAGCAGUAUAAAUUAGAGCACAAUUAAUCAACAUACAAUUAUUCUAAAGGAAAUUAUCUAACUCCUCUUACACAUAUACUCAUUCCAAUAAUUUACAGAAUUAUAAUUAACACAAUAACAAAACAAUGUCAACUCCCCUUACCUUGGGUUUUCACGGUAAGCUAAUUUAAAGACGCCCUAACAGAAAUUCUCACCCAGACAGAAAAACAAUAGUACCUAUAAACUACCAUAUCGACGGUAGAAAAUAACUCUUGGAAUGAGAACUUAACAGAAAUUAGAAAAAGGAGGGUUCUAACUGCAUAAAAUCAGUAGAACCCCAAGCCCUAAGUUUAGGAAAUAGCAAAGAGAAGGGAAAAAUACAUUUACCAGUCGGAACAAGAAAUUGUUCGGUUCAAAAUGAAGCCCUUGCCGCUGUGAACAUUUAGGCACCUUCAAACUAAAAAUUAAACGGUUCAGUGUUUGGAAAUCAUAGAGAGAAGGCAGAACAAAUUUUUAGGGAAAAAGAAAAGAGUUUUAGAGAGAGAUAGGAAAUCUGGAAAAUGAAAGUCUGAUUUCUGAAAGGCCCUCUCCAAAGUCAGGUUGUCCUAGCUUUAUGGACCUGG
RNAcentral lists this long non-coding RNA (2586 nucleotides) under Vigna radiata. RNAcentral describes it as "long non-coding RNA (VRAD_LNC005406)". The record is from RNAcentral. Lineage: Eukaryota; Viridiplantae; Streptophyta; Magnoliopsida; Fabales; Fabaceae.